RNAcentral lists this ribosomal RNA (497 nucleotides) under uncultured bacterium. RNAcentral's name for it is "partial 16S ribosomal RNA". It matches the Rfam family "Bacterial small subunit ribosomal RNA", at positions 28 to 507 of the family's 1533-position model. The record is from RNAcentral.
GAUGAACGCUGGCGGCGUGCCUAAUACAUGCAAGUCGAGCGAACAGACGAGGAGCUUGCUCCUCUGACGUUAGCGGCGGACGGGUGAGUAACACGUGGAUAACCUACCUAUAAGACUGGGAUAACUUCGGGAAACCGGAGCUAAUACCGGAUAAUAUAUUGAACCGCAUGGUUCAAUAGUGAAAGACGGUUUUGCUGUCACUUAUAGAUGGAUCCGCGCCGCAUUAGCUAGUUGGUAAGGUAACGGCUUACCAAGGCAACGAUGCGUAGCCGACCUGAGAGGGUGAUCGGCCACACUGGAACUGAGACACGGUCCAGACUCCUACGGGAGGCAGCAGUAGGGAAUCUUCCGCAAUGGGAGAAAGCCUGACGGAGCAACGCCGCGUGAGUGAUGAAGGUAUUCGGAUCGUAAAACUCUGUUAUUAGGGAAGAACAAAUGUGUAAGUAACUAUGCACGUCUUGACGGUACCUAAUCAGAAAGCCACGGCUAACUACGUG